GCGAGUGAAGCGGCAAGAGCUCAAAUUUGAAAUCUGGUACCUUUGGUGCCCGAGUUGUAAUUUGAAGAAAGCAAUCUUGGGUCUGGCCCUUGUCUAUGUUCCUUGGAACAGGACGUCACAGAGGGUGAGAAUCCCGUGCGAUGGGGUGUCCAGUCCUAUGUAAGAUGUUUUCGAAGAGUCGAGUUGUUUGGGAAUGCAGCUCAAAGUGGGUGGUAAAUUCCAUCUAAAGCUAAAUAUUGGCGAGAGACCGAUAGCGAACAAGUACUGUGAAGGAAAGAUGAAAAGAACUUUGAAAAGAGAGUGAAAAAGUACGUGAAAUUGUUGAAAGGGAAGGGUAUUUGAUCAGACUUGGUAUUUAGUUAUCAUUGCUCCUUGUGGGUGGUGCUCUAGCUUUUUACUGGGCCAGCAUCAGUUUUGGUGGCAGGAUAAUGACAGUUGAAUGUGGCUCCUCGGAGUGUUAUAGCUUCUGUUGAUACUGCCUACUGGGACUGAGGUCUGCGGCUUUUGCCUAGGAUGCUGGCGUAAUGAUUAAAUACCGCCC
RNAcentral lists this ribosomal RNA (541 nucleotides) under Pichia sp. EJ7S01. Its description in RNAcentral is "eukaryotic LSU rRNA". It matches the Rfam family "Eukaryotic large subunit ribosomal RNA", at positions 89 to 650 of the family's 3401-position model. Lineage: Eukaryota; Fungi; Ascomycota; Pichiomycetes; Pichiales; Pichiaceae. The record is from RNAcentral.